This 253-nucleotide ribosomal RNA is filed under the name uncultured bacterium. RNAcentral describes it as "partial 16S ribosomal RNA". It matches the Rfam family "Bacterial small subunit ribosomal RNA", at positions 524 to 776 of the family's 1533-position model. The record is from RNAcentral.
UACGUAGGUGGCAAGCGUUGUCCGGAUUUACUGGGCGUAAAGGGCGUGCAGGCGGUCUGUUAAGUGCAGGGUGAAAGCUCCCGGCUCAACUGGGAGAGGUCCUUGCAUACUGGCGGACUUGAGGGGGGUAGAGGAAAGUGGAAUUCCCGGUGUAGUGGUGAUAUGCGUAGAUAUCGGGAGGAACACCUGUGGCGAAGGCGGCUUUCUGGGCCCUACCUGACGCUGAGACGCGAAAGCGUGGGGAGCAAACGGG